AUACGGAGGGGGUUAGCGUUGUUCGGAAUUACUGGGCGUAAAGCGCACGUAGGCGGACUGGAAAGUUGGGGGUGAAAUCCCGGGGCUCAACCCCGGAACUGCCUCCAAAACUUCCAAUCUAGAGAUCGAGAGAGGUGAGUGGAAUUCCAAGUGUAGAGGUGAAAUUCGUAGAUAUUUGGAGGAACACCAGUGGCGAAGGCGGCUCACUGGCUCGAUACUGACGCUGAGGUGCGAAAGCGUGGGGAGCAAACAGAAUUAGAAACCCUAGUAGUCC
Molecule: ribosomal RNA, 274 nt
Filed under: uncultured bacterium
Lineage: Bacteria
Description: partial 16S ribosomal RNA
Rfam family: Bacterial small subunit ribosomal RNA
Source: RNAcentral